AAGUAGUGAAGUAAAACUUACAUUUAGUUUCGACCUAAAAUUAGAGAAUUUCUCUCCUUACUUU
Molecule: transfer RNA, 64 nt
Filed under: Alloeorhynchus sp.
Lineage: Eukaryota; Metazoa; Arthropoda; Insecta; Hemiptera; Nabidae
Description: tRNA-Arg
Source: RNAcentral